RNAcentral lists this ribosomal RNA (504 nucleotides) under Escherichia coli. RNAcentral's name for it is "partial 23S ribosomal RNA". It matches the Rfam family "Bacterial large subunit ribosomal RNA", at positions 2445 to 2925 of the family's 2925-position model. RNAcentral also lists the same sequence under 1 other name. Lineage: Bacteria; Pseudomonadati; Pseudomonadota; Gammaproteobacteria; Enterobacterales; Enterobacteriaceae. The record is from RNAcentral.
UCGCUCAACGGAUAAAAGGUACUCCGGGGAUAACAGGCUGAUACCGCCCAAGAGUUCAUAUCGACGGCGGUGUUUGGCACCUCGAUGUCGGCUCAUCACAUCCUGGGGCUGAAGUAGGUCCCAAGGGUAUGGCUGUUCGCCAUUUAAAGUGGUACGCGAGCUGGGUUUAGAACGUCGUGAGACAGUUCGGUCCCUAUCUGCCGUGGGCGCUGGAGAACUGAGGGGGGCUGCUCCUAGUACGAGAGGACCGGAGUGGACGCAUCACUGGUGUUCGGGUUGUCAUGCCAAUGGCACUGCCCGGUAGCUAAAUGCGGAAGAGAUAAGUGCUGAAAGCAUCUAAGCACGAAACUUGCCCCGAGAUGAGUUCUCCCUGACCCUUUAAGGGUCCUGAAGGAACGUUGAAGACGACGACGUUGAUAGGCCGGGUGUGUAAGCGCAGCGAUGCGUUGAGCUAACCGGUACUAAUGAACCGUGAGGCUUAACCUUACAACGCCGAAGGUGUUU